This 630-nucleotide ribosomal RNA is filed under the name Curtobacterium sp. Ri2Pt_4183. RNAcentral describes it as "bacterial SSU rRNA". It matches the Rfam family "Bacterial small subunit ribosomal RNA", at positions 387 to 1029 of the family's 1533-position model. The record is from RNAcentral. Lineage: Bacteria; Bacillati; Actinomycetota; Actinomycetes; Micrococcales; Microbacteriaceae.
UGCAGCAACGCCGCGUGAGGGAUGACGGCCUUCGGGUUGUAAACCUCUUUUAGUAGGGAAGAAGCGAAAGUGACGGUACCUGCAGAAAAAGCACCGGCUAACUACGUGCCAGCAGCCGCGGUAAUACGUAGGGUGCAAGCGUUGUCCGGAAUUAUUGGGCGUAAAGAGCUCGUAGGCGGUUUGUCGCGUCUGCUGUGAAAUCCCGAGGCUCAACCUCGGGCUUGCAGUGGGUACGGGCAGACUAGAGUGCGGUAGGGGAGAUUGGAAUUCCUGGUGUAGCGGUGGAAUGCGCAGAUAUCAGGAGGAACACCGAUGGCGAAGGCAGAUCUCUGGGCCGUAACUGACGCUGAGGAGCGAAAGCAUGGGGAGCGAACAGGAUUAGAUACCCUGGUAGUCCAUGCCGUAAACGUUGGGCGCUAGAUGUAGGGACCUUUCCACGGUUUCUGUGUCGUAGCUAACGCAUUAAGCGCCCCGCCUGGGGAGUACGGCCGCAAGGCUAAAACUCAAAGGAAUUGACGGGGGCCCGCACAAGCGGCGGAGCAUGCGGAUUAAUUCGAUGCAACGCGAAGAACCUUACCAAGGCUUGACAUACACCGGAACGGCCAGAGAUGGUCGCCCCCUUGUGGUCGG